This is a long non-coding RNA of Mirounga angustirostris (Northern elephant seal), 390 nucleotides long. RefSeq lists it as uncharacterized. The transcript has 3 exons. Lineage: Eukaryota; Metazoa; Chordata; Mammalia; Carnivora; Phocidae. The record is from RefSeq and is a predicted model, not a curated record.
AUCGAAGUCGGGGUCUGUUUCCUGCAAGGCAAGCACAGGCACGAGAGUCAUGUGCUCAAACCGAAGCUAUACAUAAACGGAGGAGGCAAUCCAGCUAGGCAUCUUCCUGUGGCAAGUACAUGUUCACUGAAGUUCGCUGAAAAUGUCUCCACCUUCCAGAGCUGUGUCAAGACAGUGGGAAUAAAAACGGGUGAAGUCAAGGAAGUGGUGAAACUACAGAGGAUGGAGAAUUGUCUGAAAUUACCCUCCCAGAGCUGCUUGUCAAAAUAAGCGGAUUCCACGUAAUGUGAUGCCCGACCGGGGAGCUCUGAUGAGCCGUCUCAGCCACAGCCUCAGUCACUGGCUUUCUCACUUGGGCCCCACAGGCCAAGGGCCCAACCCGGACACACU